Molecule: ribosomal RNA, 468 nt
Filed under: uncultured bacterium
Lineage: Bacteria
Description: partial 16S ribosomal RNA
Rfam family: Bacterial small subunit ribosomal RNA
Source: RNAcentral
GACGAACGCUGGCGGCGUGCUUAACACAUGCAAGUCGAACGGAAAGGCCCUGCUUUUGUGGGGUGCUCGAGUGGCGAACGUGUGAGUAACACGUGAGUAACCUGCCCUUGACUUUGGGAUAACUUCAGGAAACUGGGGCUAAUACCGGAUAGGAGCUCCUGCUGCAUGGUGGGGGUUGGAAAGUUUCGGCGGUUGGGGAUGGACUCGCGGCUUAUCAGCUUGUUGGUGGGGUAGUGGCUUACCAAGGCUUUGACGGGUAGCCGGCCUGAGAGGGUGACCGGCCACAUUGGGACUGAGAUACGGCCCAGACUCCUACGGGAGGCAGCAGUGGGGAAUACUGCACAAUGGGCGGAAGCCUGAUGCAGCAACGCCGCGUGCGGGAUGACGGCCUUCGGGUUGUAAACCGCUUUCGCCUGUGACGAAGCGUGAGUGACGGUAAUGGGUAAAGAAGCACCGGCUAACUACGUG